AGCAGCCGCGGUAAUUCCAGCUCCAAUAGCGUAUAUUAAAGUUGUUGCAGUUAAAAAGCUCGUAGUUGAAUUUCGGGAUUGGCGCAUCGGUCGUGCCUUACGGGGUAUGAACUGGUGCAGUCAAUUUCUCACCUUCUGGAGAACCGCGAUGUCCUUAAUUGGGUGCCGCGGGGAACCAGGACCUUUACUUUGAAAAAAUUAGAGUGUUUAAAGCAGGCAUUUUUGCUUGAAUACAUUUAGCAUGGAAUAAUAAAAUAGGACGGCAUGGUUCUAUUUUGUUGGUUUCUAGGACCACCGUAAUGA
This 303-nucleotide ribosomal RNA is filed under the name uncultured Glomeromycotina. RNAcentral describes it as "SSU rRNA". It matches the Rfam family "Eukaryotic small subunit ribosomal RNA", at positions 569 to 868 of the family's 1831-position model. The record is from RNAcentral. Lineage: Eukaryota; Fungi; Glomeromycota.